UGAAACUGCGAAUGGCUCAUUAAAUCAGUUAUCGUUUAUUUGAUAGUACCUUACUACUUGGAUAACCGUGGUAAUUCUAGAGCUAAUACAUGCUAAAAACCUCGACUUCGGAAGGGGUGUAUUUAUUAGAUAAAAAACCAAUGCCCUUCGGGGCUUCUUGGUGAUUCAUAAUAACUUAACGAAUCGCAUGGCCUUGUGCCGGCGAUGGUUCAUUCAAAUUUCUGCCCUAUCAACUUUCAAUCGUAACGUAGUGGGCUACGAUGGUUUCAACGGGUAACGGGGAAUUAGGGUUCUAUUCCGGAGAGGGAGCCUGAGAAACGGCUACCACAUCCAAGGAAGGCAGCAGGCGCGCAAAUUACCCAAUCCCGACACGGGGAGGUAGUGACAAUAAAUACUG
This 397-nucleotide ribosomal RNA is filed under the name uncultured eukaryote. Its description in RNAcentral is "SSU rRNA". It matches the Rfam family "Eukaryotic small subunit ribosomal RNA", at positions 82 to 482 of the family's 1831-position model. The record is from RNAcentral.